AUUGCGGACUUGUUACUUUAAUAUCAAAAAUUUUUAUUCCUUUAAGAGAACAAGCUGCAACAUUGGCAUCACUUUCAAUGACGAAAGAUCGGCGAGCACAGCCUAAAAAAUAAAAAAUUCAAUGAAAUUCUUAAAAAAAAUGAUAAUGAAUUAAAAAUCGAUGAGGCGCUUACCUCAACAUUGUGAAGAUGAGCCUAGGACGAGCGACCAGAGACGACCACGAAGUGCUCGAGGAGAACCCCGUUUAAGAAAUUCUUGAGCAACCGGUGCGUGGUUGCUCUUCAAUACUUUCUCCCCCAAAUGAGUUCUUUCUGCUUCGAGAUUGGCAAAAUUUCCAUUAGCCGGCAUAUUGUUGUUAACCCCCAGAAGUGCGACCCCAUGAGCUAAUUCGCAAUAUGUCGAUCUCUAACAAAAAAAGGAUCCUUUCUUAGACAAUUAUAUAUAACUUUCUAACAACUAUAGUUGAUAAAAAAUUUAAUUCAUUUGUUUAUCGCUUUCAAAUACUUGCAAAUAUUCAAUCUUACGAGUUUGGCAAGAGUUUUUACUCGAAUUUGAAUGUGGCUGAAUUCCCAAUUGGGCUCGUUUCUGUAAAGAAAUAUUAAUAAGAAUUCGCUCAUAAUUAAAUUCUUUUCUUGCACUCACAUUUGUUUCUUGAAAGUUGGAUCUCGAAUGGAAAAUAACACCUCGAGAAAGUCUUUGGGAGCAUAGACAGGUCUGUAUUGCGAUAAAUCUAAAAACACAAAAGAUUCUCAAAAAAUGUUUUUUCUCAUAUCUGAUUGGAAUAAGUCAUAGGUACUCUUAUACUGCUAUGCAAUUAUUUCAUAUUUUAAGCUAUGCGAGUGAACAAAUCGAUUAUAUUCAUAAAGACACGAAAGUAAAUCAUAAUUUUUUUAUAAAUGGAAAACAUUUUCCAUUUUUCACACAAGUUCAGAAGGCUUCAACUAGAAUGGUCUUGAGUGGAGUGAAAAAAAAAAAUUAUUUCAUAUGGCAAUGAAUGUCAUAAAAUAUAUAACCAAUAUCGUAAGUGCUCAAUUCGUUCCAUUUUUCAGCGAGCUCUUCCCUGUCAGCGUUGGGUCGGAUCCUAGCUAACGGAACGUUCAACUCGUUACAUAUUGAGUUCAAAGACUUUUGGAUUCUGCGUUCCCAUUGGAUCUGAGCCUUUCUUAAGUAGCUCAAAUCGGCCUCGUUACGAGCAACUUCCGGUCUCGGAGCGAGAGAACCCUUGGCGAACGAAAUGCCGAUUUAUUGAUACGUCAAUUUUUUUUUUAUUAUCAACCGCUUUUCACGCAAAAGAAAAAGGAAGAAUAUUUUUCGAUUAAAUUGCUAACCUGUGAACGAGCCCAAUGAAACACUGAAUUUCGUAUUUCGGUCUCUAGCCCAUUCGUUUUUAAGGCAUCGACCAGGGUACUUUUAAAAUUGUCCAUCCUUACGGAUGACGAAGCUGUGAUUUUCUAAAAUGUUGUUUCAACAUUUAUCAAUUCUUUCGAUUUUUCUAGAGUCACAAAAAAUCAAGAAACAAAAAUAAUCGUACCUGGAUUUCGCUGUAAAUGUUUUUGUAGUUACCCAUAUUCCGUAUAUCAUCCGUCAAUUUUUGUGCCGCUUUUUCAAGCUCCUUUUCCGUCGAUUUGUCCAUUCUCGGUUGACUCAAAAUUUGACGUAAUAAUAUUAAUACGCUUUGACAAAACUAACAAUCUCCCGUUUCAAAGAACUUGUUUAUAUAGGAACAACAAAAAUCCAGCAAAAUGAGAAAGGAGAAUCGGCGCCAUUUGUAAACAAAUCAUGUUAUUUACUCGUUUUGCGAAAAAGGGAAACUUACCACACUAUAUAUACGCGCUUUCUACAGUCAACUCAACAGAAAUAUUCUGAAUGAUACGCGAAUAUUUACUGAAUAUUUUAAAUUAACUCCUCAGCUUUGGUUUAUUAUCUUAUAUCACGUAUAUGCUUGCGCGCCAUUCUCAAUUUCUAUAGACAUAUUCAUAUAUGGAGAAAGAAGUCUCAAUUUAUAUGCAAAUGUAUUCGAUGAAAUAUAACGAUGAUGAUUCUAA
This 2045-nucleotide long non-coding RNA is filed under the name Venturia canescens. Its description in RNAcentral is "uncharacterized LOC122415997". Lineage: Eukaryota; Metazoa; Arthropoda; Insecta; Hymenoptera; Ichneumonidae. The record is from RNAcentral.